RNAcentral lists this ribosomal RNA (243 nucleotides) under uncultured bacterium. RNAcentral's name for it is "partial 16S ribosomal RNA". It matches the Rfam family "Bacterial small subunit ribosomal RNA", at positions 534 to 776 of the family's 1533-position model. The record is from RNAcentral.
GCAAACGUUAUUCGGAUUUACUGGGCUUAAAGAGUUCGUAGGCGGCGCAGAAAGUAGGGUGUGAAAGCCCUCGGCUUAACCGAGGAAUUGCGCUCUAAACUACUGUGCUCGAGGGACGUAGAGGUGAGCGGAACUGAUGGUGGAGCGGUGAAAUGCGUUGAUAUCAUCAGGAACACCGGAGGCGAAGGCGGCUCACUGGGGGUCUUCUGACGCUGAGGAACGAAAGCCAGGGGAGCGAGCGGG